UAUAUUUAAGUGUUUAGCAUAUAAAUUUUUGAAUUUUAUGGGAAUAAUUUAUUUUAUUAAAUAUAA
Molecule: transfer RNA, 66 nt
Filed under: Pristaulacus sp. ZJUH_2016030
Lineage: Eukaryota; Metazoa; Arthropoda; Insecta; Hymenoptera; Aulacidae
Description: tRNA-Gln
Source: RNAcentral